UUACUGCUAUCGAGGUUCGACUAAGCCAUGCGAGUCGAAUGUAGCAAUACAUGGCGUACUGCUCAGUAACACGUGGACAACCUACCCUCCGGACGGGUAUAAACCCGGGAAACUGGGUAUAAUCCCCGAUAGAUCUCGGUCGCUGGAAUGCCCCGAGAUCGAAAGCUCCGGCGCCAGAGGAUGGGUCUGCGGCCUAUCAGGUAGUAGUGGGUGUAGCGUACCUACUAGCCUACGACGGGUACGGGUUGUGAGAGCAAGAGCCCGGAGAUGGAUUCUGAGACACGAAUCCAGGCCCUACGGGGUGCAGCAGGCGCGAAAACUUUACAAUGCCGGCAACGGCGAUAAGGGGACCUCGAGUGCCAGGUUACAAAUCUGGCUGUCGCGAUGCCUAAAAAGCAUUGCAUAGCAAGGGCCGGGCAAGACCGGUGCCAGCCGCCGCGGUAACACCGGCGGCUCGAGUGGUAACCGUUAUUAUUGGGUCUAAAGGGUCUGUAGCCGGCCGGA
RNAcentral lists this ribosomal RNA (504 nucleotides) under uncultured archaeon. RNAcentral's name for it is "bacterial SSU rRNA". It matches the Rfam family "Archaeal small subunit ribosomal RNA", at positions 24 to 533 of the family's 1478-position model. The record is from RNAcentral.